AAACGUCUCAGUUCGGACUGUGGUCUGNAACCCGACCACACGAAGCUGGAAUCGCUAGUAAUCGCGAAUCAGAAUGUCGCGGUGAAUACGUUCCCGGGUCUCGUACACACCGCCCGUCACACCAUGGGAGUUGGGAAUGCCCGAAGUCAGUGACCCAACCGCAAGGAGGGAGCUGCCGAAGGCAGGCUUGAUAACUGGGGUGAAGUCGUAACAAGGUAGC
RNAcentral lists this ribosomal RNA (220 nucleotides) under uncultured bacterium. Its description in RNAcentral is "partial 16S ribosomal RNA". It matches the Rfam family "Bacterial small subunit ribosomal RNA", at positions 1281 to 1500 of the family's 1533-position model. The record is from RNAcentral.